Molecule: ribosomal RNA, 362 nt
Filed under: uncultured cyanobacterium
Lineage: Bacteria; Bacillati; Cyanobacteriota
Description: bacterial SSU rRNA
Rfam family: Bacterial small subunit ribosomal RNA
Source: RNAcentral
AGGAAGGCUCUUGGGUCGUAAACCUCUUUUCUCAGGGAAGAACACAAUGACGGUACCUGAGGAAUAAGCAUCGGCUAACUCCGUGCCAGCAGCCGCGGUAAUACGGAGGAUGCAAGCGUUAUCCGGAAUGAUUGGGCGUAAAGCGUCCGCAGGUGGCGAUGUAAGUCUGCUGUUAAAGCGUCUAGCUCAACCAGAUAAGAGCAGUGGAAACUACAUAGCUAGAGUGCGUUCGGGGCAGAGGGAAUUCCUGGUGUAGCGGUGAAAUGCGUAGAGAUCAGGAAGAACACCAGUGGCGAAGGCGCUCUGCUAGGCCGUAACUGACACUGAGGGACGAAAGCUAGGGGAGCGAAUGGGAUUAAAUA